UCCGAGAGCUGUCUGGUAUUACAUUUAUCGAUGGCCACCUGAUGACUGACAUUCCCAUCAAACCAGAGUACAACUACAGCAUACAGGUUGGAGCAUUGACAGCAACAGGCCUGGUUGGAAACGUAACACAAAAUGUCACCUUUGCUUCUGAAAUAGGACCCCCUCCAUUGCCACAGAAAGAUUAUCCACCUGUGGUUACCCUGGUUACAGACCAAGACGGCUCCAAUCAACUCACAGUUUCUGUUAACC
This is a long non-coding RNA of Liolophura sinensis, 249 nucleotides long. RefSeq lists it as uncharacterized. The record is from RefSeq and is a predicted model, not a curated record. NCBI's taxonomy places the organism in Eukaryota, Metazoa, Mollusca, Polyplacophora, Chitonida, Chitonidae. The transcript has 3 exons.